AGGAAAGGCUUCAAUUGCUUUCAUCCUAAAGAUGAAAGCUCCAUUCUAUUGAAUCAUGCCAGAAUAACCUAGAGAGGCUCUGGCAGCACAGGUCAGCAUAACACCUGUAGCUGCCUCUCAUCUUGCCUACAUUU
Molecule: small nucleolar RNA, 134 nt
Organism: Erinaceus europaeus (western European hedgehog)
Lineage: Eukaryota; Metazoa; Chordata; Mammalia; Eulipotyphla; Erinaceidae
Source: Ensembl